UAAACCUCCCCAGCUUUCCCACAUGCUCUGGUGAGCAUGUGGGCUGCCUCUUGACCGAAUGUUCCAGCGCCUUGCCUAUAUAGUUACCCUGGCCUCCGCGAAAUCACUGUGACAUUUACAAGGCAUGCCUCUGACCUCCCAGGUCUCCAUAGUUGGGAUGUUGUUUGGAAAUUUCCAAUGCAAUGGAAGAUUUCGGAGGACAAGGGAGUUUUUCCAGCCAUAGGUCUGCCAUAGUUCACUCUUAGUGCCUCAAUUGAACAAAUGAGUAAAAAAUGAAGAUUAAAGAAGGUAUGGUGAAAGAAAUGUUCUUUACUUCCUCUCCUUUUAACUCUCAGGACUAUUUCAAAGUUGCUAAUUUCAGAGCACAUUGAGACUAAAAAUAUAUUGGAUUUAUGAUUAAUGAGGGCAUGAAAUUUUAAAAAAUUAAGUACAUUCAAAUAAAGUAAGCCUACUAUUGUAUUUAAGAUGCAUAUAAAAGGAACUGCAUUUUAAAAAUACUUGUGCAAGGUAUAUUAUAAAAGUGGCAGUGUUUAGAAAUUUUAAUUAAAAUUUAAGUUUGAUUUAUGUUCUCAAUUUCAUUUAAUCCAAUGUCACUUUUUGAAUGUCACCUGUUUUUUCUGUUCCCAGUGUUUUCUGUAAUGUUCAGAAUGCCUUAUAUGAAUGCAGUAAUAUUUGCUAGACCUUCUAAACACAAACUGCUAAUGUGUUUUUCUAAAAAUUUUGGAAAUUCUAAAAGUUUAGACCUCGUAAUAUACAGAAAUCUUAAGUUUUUAAAAAUAAAGAUUUAGCAGCAGAGGACCCUGUCUACAGAGGACUUCUAUCUACAGAGUUGUCUUUACUAUUAUGUAUUUAUGACUUCCAGAGUCCAUUUGUGGUGUAUCUUAUCUAUAAUAUCACUAGAAAGUUUAUUUUG
Perognathus longimembris pacificus (Pacific pocket mouse) is the source of this 913-nucleotide long non-coding RNA. RefSeq lists it as uncharacterized. The transcript is spliced from 2 exons. Lineage: Eukaryota; Metazoa; Chordata; Mammalia; Rodentia; Heteromyidae. The record is from RefSeq and is a predicted model, not a curated record.